AGGUGUGAAAAGGGCGGAAAUGCCAUCUCUACAGACUGCUUUGCCUCCUGAGCUUGCAAAUAAUGUCAUUAGGCUUUACCGCGAGUGCCUUCGAAGAGCUAAGUAUAUUGGUCAUCAGCAACAUAACACCGAGCUUCUUGUUACUAUGGUGAGGCAACAAUUCAGAAAAAACAUGCGUGAGACUGAUCCAGAGAAGAUUCAGAAGUUGAAAGAUGAUGCUGCUAGGGGACUUAUAAACCAUAUUCUAUAUGAAUCUGAGAGAAUGUCAGGUCGAAAAUUCAGCCAAAGUUCUUGAUGUUAUAUGGAGAAUGACAUCAAGUAAAAGGUCUCCAUUGAAAUUUCAGAUAUUGUAGGAAUAAGAUGGCUGUUGAUGAAAGUACUCCUUGGAGGUUAUUUUUGCAUUUCCUUGUUUAUUUCUACGAUUUGUUAAAGGAAAACGUCCAUUUUACACUAAGUGUUGAACUUUUCUCCAUCUGCAAUCUUCAUUUUAUU
RNAcentral lists this unclassified non-coding RNA (492 nucleotides) under Hevea brasiliensis (rubber tree). The record is from RNAcentral. Lineage: Eukaryota; Viridiplantae; Streptophyta; Magnoliopsida; Malpighiales; Euphorbiaceae.